This 447-nucleotide ribosomal RNA is filed under the name uncultured bacterium. Its description in RNAcentral is "bacterial SSU rRNA". It matches the Rfam family "Bacterial small subunit ribosomal RNA", at positions 355 to 825 of the family's 1533-position model. The record is from RNAcentral.
UCGGGAAUUUUGGGCAAUGGGGGAAACCCUGACCCAGCAACGCCGCGUGAAGGAUGAAGUAUUUCGGUAUGUAAACUUCGAAAGAAUAGGAAGAAUAAAUGACGGUACUAUUUAUAAGGUCCGGCUAACUACGUGCCAGCAGCCGCGGUAAUACGUAGGGACCAAGCGUUGUUCGGAUUUACUGGGCGUAAAGGGCGCGUAGGCGGUGUGUCAAGUCAGUUGUGAAAUCUCCGAGCUUAACUCGGAACGGUCAACUGAUACUGUCACACUAGAGUACAGAAGGGGCAAUCGGAAUUCUUGGUGUAGCGGUGAAAUGCGUAGAUAUCAAGAGGAACACCUGAGGCGAAGGCGGGUUGCUGGGCUGAUACUGACGCUGAGGCGCGAAAGCUAGGGUAGCAAACGGGAUUAGAUACCCAAGUAGUCCCUGAGCGGGCUGGCAAGGCGCAU